This 301-nucleotide ribosomal RNA is filed under the name uncultured bacterium. Its description in RNAcentral is "partial 16S ribosomal RNA". It matches the Rfam family "Bacterial small subunit ribosomal RNA", at positions 509 to 807 of the family's 1533-position model. The record is from RNAcentral.
CAGCAGCCGCGGGAAUACGUAGGUGGCAAGCGUUGUCCGGAAUUAUUGGGCGUAAAGGGCUCGCAGGCGGUUUCUUAAGUCUGAUGUGAAAGCCCCCGGCUCAACCGGGGAGGGUCAUUGGAAACUGAGAAACUUGAGUGCAGAAGAGGAGAGUGGAAUUCCACGUGCAGCGGUGAAAUGCGUAGAGAUGUGGAGGAACACCAGUGGCGAAGGCGACUCUCUGGUCUGUAACUGACGCUGAGGAGCGAAAGCGUGGGGAGCGAACAGGAUUAGAGACCCCUGUAGUCCCUGUCUCUUAUAC